This 1550-nucleotide long non-coding RNA is filed under the name Homo sapiens (human). RNAcentral's name for it is "non-protein coding lnc-NEK7-4:1". Lineage: Eukaryota; Metazoa; Chordata; Mammalia; Primates; Hominidae. The record is from RNAcentral.
UUUGAUGUUGUUCACUCAACGUUUCUAUUUUUAUUCAAUUAUAAGCAAACAGCAGAAUUAACCCAACAUUCAGCAACUCCAGAUCAGCUUUUCUUACCCCCAUGAAGAGCUAUCAAUUUAACAACCACAGUUGUAAGGAUUCUUAAUAAGCUGUCAAUGAGCACUGCUGCCGGUCUAGAUGGCCAUGCCCCAACAAAAGCAAAGCCACUCUCCCUAAUGCUUUUUCCAGGAUUGCUUUUUAAAGGCACCAGAGCGAGAAGAUUGCAUCAUUACACUCAAGCCUGGGCUUUGCAGUGAGACUUUAUCUCAAAAAAAAAGAUAAAAUUGACAAACCUUUAGUCAGACUAAGGAAAAAAGAGUGGAGACUCAAAUGCGUACAGUCAGAGAUGAAAAAAGAGACAUUGCCACUGAUACUUCAGAAAUUUAAAAGAUUAUGAGAUGCUACUAUGAGCAGUUAUAUGCUAAUGAAUUGGAAAACUUAGAAGAAAUGGAUAAAUUCCUAGAUACAUGCAACCUAUCAAGAUUGUAAAAUGUCUCUUGAUAGAGCUGUUUAAAAAACUACAAGUCUUUACAUGGGGGUUAAGAUUUUCUCUUAAUUUCAUUUAUUGUAGGGCUUUUAGUAAUCUAAAUUUUAUUUUUGUAUAGUCUAGCUAUAUUUUCUACAGGAGAAACAGACUUAGUCUAUAUAUCUCCGUAGGUCUUCUUAGGUUUCCAUGGUAUUACUAAUUGUUAUGUCUAUAGAGUGCUGUGAAACAAUCCUAUCAAUAGUUUCUGGCCAAACACUUGUUUGACUAAGCCACAAAGGCACCUGCUCCAUAGAUAUGAGGAUAUAUUUCUAGAUUGAUGCCUAUCUGGCUACAUUCUGUAGUCUGGGUUUACUGGUGUUAAUUAACUCAGUUUGUGUGUUUCUUUUGUUAUCUAAAUGUAGAUGGUUCUUUAUACCUGGCCAUAGAAUUAUGACUUAUGCAUCUUAUGGUGGUUACCUUGAAAUUAGAACAAACCUGAGCUCUAAUCUGGGGCUGACUUUCCUCAGUCGUCUCUCUACAUUCUGUGUUGACAAUGCUACCAUGUGAAGGCCUAAGGAAUACAAUGUUCAUCAAAUAAUUAAUCAGACUUUGCUCACAUAUGAAUUAGUUCUGUUUGCUGGCCUAUCAAGCAGAAGUAUUUUAAACAGUUGUGAGAAUGACCUUUACCAAAUCAUUUUAAACACAAAUCCAAAAAGCUUCCACCCAUGCAACUGCUUAGGAAGUUGAACUGGCUGGAGCUGGUAGACACACAGUAAAGGAUAAGUACAUGUGUCUUAACCUAUUUAUUAGGCAAUUAUUCUCACAGCUAACCUAGCAUGUAGUUCACUAUAAUUUCAGAGAGUUUGCAUAGCUGUCCUCAAAUUGCUCAGUUGUCAAAAAAAUGUUUUGUGUUUUUUUUGUUCCACCUAUGAUUUCCAGGUUACUGAGUCAUUCCAUAAUCUACCAAACUGGUAAAUUCAGAGUUUCUAAAGACCAGGAGUGUGCUUUUAAUCACAUGCAGAACCAUUUAAUGUUUAGGAUCAA